RNAcentral lists this transfer RNA (77 nucleotides) under Ilumatobacteraceae bacterium. RNAcentral describes it as "tRNA-Val". It matches the Rfam family "tRNA". From Rfam's summary of the family: Transfer RNA (tRNA) molecules are approximately 80 nucleotides in length. Their secondary structure includes four short double-helical elements and three loops (D, anti-codon, and T loops). Lineage: Bacteria; Bacillati; Actinomycetota; Acidimicrobiia; Acidimicrobiales; Ilumatobacteraceae. The record is from RNAcentral.
GGGCGCUUAGCUCAGUUGGUUAGAGCUCCUCGCUUACACCGAGGAGGUCGGGGGUUCGAGUCCCUCAGCGCCCACUA